GGACUCUGUAGCUCAGUCGGUUAGAGCGCUGCACCGGAAUGGCAGGCCCGCAGGUUUGAUUCCUGCUAGAGGACCG
Paramuricea clavata is the source of this 76-nucleotide non-coding RNA. The record is from the annotation of a GenBank genome assembly. Lineage: Eukaryota; Metazoa; Cnidaria; Anthozoa; Malacalcyonacea; Plexauridae.